This 654-nucleotide ribosomal RNA is filed under the name uncultured archaeon. Its description in RNAcentral is "bacterial SSU rRNA". It matches the Rfam family "Archaeal small subunit ribosomal RNA", at positions 691 to 1346 of the family's 1478-position model. The record is from RNAcentral.
CCGACGGUGAGGGAUGAAUGCUGGGGGCGCAAACCGGAUUAGAUACCCGGGUAGUCCCAGCAGUAAACGAUGCCAGCUAUGUGUUGCUGGAACCAUGGGUUCCAGCAUGCCGAAGGAACCGUGAAGCUGGCCACCUGGGAAGUACGGUCGCAAGGCUGAAACUUAAAGGAAUUGGCGGGGGAGUACCACAACCGGUGGAGCCUGCGGUUUAAUUGGAUACAACGCCGGGAAUCUUGGCCGGAGGGGACAGCAGUAUGAAGGCCAGGCUAAAGACCUUGCCAGAUCAGCUGAGAGGAGGUGCAUGGCCGUCGCCAGUUCGUACCGUGAGGCAUCCUGUUUAGUCAGGCAACGAUCGAGACCCGCAGUCUUAUUUGCCAGCAUGCCCUUUGGGGUGUAUGGGUACAAUAAGACGACCGCCAGCGCUAAGCUGGAGGAAGGAGCGGGCUACGGUAGGUCAGCAUGCCCCGAAUCCUCCGGGAUACACGCGGGCUACAAUGGUCAGGACAAAAGGUACCGACCUCGAAAGAGUGAGGUAAUCCACAAACCUGAUCUCAGUCCGGAUCGAAGGCUGCAACUCGCCUUCGUGAAGAUGGAAUCGGUAGUAAUCGUGACUCAAAAUGUCACGGUGAAUAUGUCCCUGCUCCUUGCACUCAC